GACGAACGCUGGCGGCGUGCUUAACACAUGCAAGUCGAGCGGUGAACCACCUUCGGGUGGGGAUCAGCGGCGAACGGGUGAGUAACACGUGGGCAACCUGCCCUCAGCUCUGGGAUAACUCCGGGAAACCGGGGCUAAUACCGGAUACGACUUCCUGCGGCAUCUUGGGAAGUGGAAAGUUUUUCGGCUGAGGAUGGGCCCGCGGCCUAUCAGCUUGUUGGUGGGGUAAUGGCCCACCAAGGCGACGACGGGGAGCCGGCCUGAGAGGGCGACCGGCCACACUGGGACUGAGACACUGCCCGGACUCCUACGGGGGGCGUGCAGUAACGAAUCUUCCGCAAUGCACGAAGUAGUGACGGAGCGACGCCGCGUGGAGGACGAAGUCCUUCGG
Molecule: ribosomal RNA, 391 nt
Filed under: uncultured bacterium
Lineage: Bacteria
Description: bacterial SSU rRNA
Rfam family: Bacterial small subunit ribosomal RNA
Source: RNAcentral